AGAGUUUGAUCCUGGCUCAGAUUGAACGCUGGCGGCAUGCCUUACACAUGCAAGUCGAACGGUAACAGCACUUCGGUGGCUGACGAGUGGCGAACGGGUGAGUAAUACAUCGGAACGUGCCCGAGAGUGGGGGAUAACGCAGCGAAAGCUGUGCUAAUACCGCAUACGAUCUACGGAUGAAAGCAGGGGACCGCAAGGCCUUGCGCUCACGGAGCGGCCGAUGGCAGAUUAGGUAGUUGGUGGGAUAAAAGCUUACCAAGCCGACGAUCUGUAGCUGGUCUGAGAGGACGACCAGCCACACUGGGACUGAGACACGGCCCAGACUCCUACGGGAGGCAGCAGUGGGGAAUUUUGGACAAUGGGCGAAAGCCUGAUCCAGCCAUGCCGCGUGCAGGAUGAAGGCCUUCGGGUUGUAAACUGC
This 421-nucleotide ribosomal RNA is filed under the name uncultured bacterium. RNAcentral's name for it is "bacterial SSU rRNA". It matches the Rfam family "Bacterial small subunit ribosomal RNA", at positions 8 to 433 of the family's 1533-position model. The record is from RNAcentral.